Long non-coding RNA from Bubalus bubalis (water buffalo), 4452 nucleotides. RefSeq lists it as uncharacterized. The record is from RefSeq and is a predicted model, not a curated record. The transcript is spliced from 2 exons. Lineage: Eukaryota; Metazoa; Chordata; Mammalia; Artiodactyla; Bovidae.
UUUAAUGAAGGAUAUUUAAAACAUUAAUAUUAGUCCUUACAUUGUUCCCGAAACAGUUUCCAACAACUGGUAUUCUCAAUAAUGAAGACUGUUUUGUUUUUUAAGGAGAAGAUAAGUUGGAUAUAUCCUACUAGACAAUGUGUUUAAAUAAUAGACCUUAGAAAUGUCUUUAACAGAAAGCAGGGCAUUUUGUUGUUAUAAAAACAAAGACCUUAUAAAUAACUUACUGCUCUAGAAAAACAUACUGGACAAAAUUUCCUUGAUUCUUUUAAAAUCUUAUAAACAGUAAUUAUCAUCAUAUACUGUCUUAUUUCAGCUAAAAAAAAAAAAAAAUCCAAAUGUAAUCAAUAGAAAACCAUGGUACUGUAUUCCAGACUGUAGUUAAGUCCAUAAGAUUCAUUUUUCAGACAGUAACAAAAUGAACAGAUGAUCUCUUUACAUGGCUGCAGAGUCACUGAGUUUUCCAUGUUGUUUAGUCUCGCUUGAGAGGGAAACGCCCUGCUGUCAGAAAAGCCCCUCUUCUCCUAGGCUCAUCAGCCCUGUAGCGAGCGGCAGAUUUGAAGCACUGCGGGUGUUUGACAACAGCCUUUGCCACCUUCUGCUGAUUUGAUCUUUCUGAAGCACAUCAUGGUUCUUACUAGUCAUGAUUCUGGCAUCUAAUAUAUGCUCCUCUCCUUUUUUAAAGCCAGCAUGGUGUAGUAAACCUUAGCAGUAUAUCUUGCUUGAUUGUCUCAGAGCGGUUCAGAUCUAUGGGUAGUGUGGAGAAGUGUCUGAAGGGUAAUAGGACUGUAAUUUGUUGCCUUCCUGAAGAGAGUGGCCUUGAGGAUCAGACGUAAUUGACUAUUGUUAACCCUGGUCUUUGUUUUGAAGGAAAUUUCUUUUAUAUUUCAUGUUAUUUAAUCUCUUCUCAGGAAGGAAUAUCUUGUAAGAAUUUUAGAAUUAUCUAACUCUAAAUAGGAAAGGUAGAAAUGAUUGUCAAGUUAUUGCUAAUCACUGGUAGGAAUUUCUAUCAAUCACCUAGUUAAGACAAUUUUAUUUUCUUGGGCUCCAAAAUCACUGCAGUUAUUAUCCACAGGAAAUGUUAGCUUCGUUUUAAAGAUGAUGAAACUUCGACAGAGAGCAGUUCAGUGUUAUACAUCUAGUAGGUGUUAGGACCAGAAUGAGAACCCAGGUCUUUAUGGCACUGGUCAGUGAUAGAUGUGUUCACAGUAAACUCGUAGUAACUUAUCUGCAUGCCCCAGUGAGGCCCACCAGCUGUCUCUGUACUCUUCUGCUUGGACUGCAUGGUGACUCAGUUCCCUCAUUUAAUUCUGCUUUUCAUCUAAAUCUGCCCAUUACUUCUACCAGUUUAUUUGUUCUAGCUGUGAGCAUGAGUUAGUUUUUAGCUACUUAAUUUUACACAUUCUGUUAUUCCUACCGAUGAAAGAAAAGAACUGGAAAAGCUGACCAGGUUGAGAAAUUUGAAUGGCGUUGCUGGAGUGAUUCCUGUAAAACAUGGCCUCUUAGAUCUCGCUAAUGACCUAGCGACUGGGCAGAAUAAGAUGUCUCUGUGUUCUCAGCAGGGCUUUCUCUUUGUUCUGUAAUAAUUCAGAUUGUUCCCCACUUUCGUGUUGUCGUUCAGUCACCAAGUCGUGUCUUACUCUCUGUGACCUCAAGGAUUGUAGCCCACCAGGCUCCUCUGUCCAUGGGAUUUUUCAGGCAAGAAUACUGGAGUGGGUUUCUCAAAGAAUAAUUUUCUCUUGGUUAGACCUAGAUCUUGAUAUUGUAUCACGGAUAAAGUUUUAGUGCAGGGUCACUGCCCAAUGCCCAGGUGUAAGGCUGUGAGGUAGGGUUUUCUUCUUAUAAUUGUUACUCCUAUUAUGUGUAUAGGGCUUCCCUCGUGGCUCAGUUGGUAAAGAAUCCUCCUGCAGUGUAGGAGACCUGGUUUGAUCCCUGGGUCAGGAAGAUCCCCUGGAGGAGGAAAUGGCAACCGGCUCCAGGAUGCUUACCUGGAAAAUCCCAUGGACAGAGAAGCUUGGCAGGCUGCAAUCUAUGAGGUCACAGAAGAGUCGAACAUGACUUAGUGACUAAACCACCACUACCUAUUAUGUAUACAGGGUAAUGUUCUUACAACAUGCCAAAGUGGAAAUGAAGUGAGUCUUGAAUUAUGUUUUUAUUGUAGUUAUAAUCCCAAAGUAAAAUUUUUUAUAGUUUAGAAAGCCCAUUUUCCUUGGCUAAUAGAUGUCAAUAUCCAGAGAGUUUGAUCCCUUGAAAACAACUUUCAUCUCAUUGUAUGUCUCCAUCAGAGCUCAUGGGCAACACAUCACAGGUGUGAGGUCCUUGAGCAGUAAUAUUUUGAAAGAAAUCUUUUCUGAGCAGUGUCAACCGUGGGCUUAAAAUAUUCAGUAAACAAUGUUGUAAACAGAUGUGCUACAUCCAGGCUUUGUGGCUCCAUUUAUAGAGCAGAGUAGACUGAGUAUUAUUCUUAAUGGCUUUAGGAUUUUCAGAAUGGUAAAUGAGCACUGGCUUCAACUUCAAGUCUCCAGCUGCAUUAGCCCCUAACAAGAGAGUCACUCUGUCCUUUGAAGCCAGACGUUGACUUCUCCUCUCUUGCCGUGAAAGUCCGAGAGGACAUCAUCUUCCAGUAUAAAGCUGUUUCGUCAGCAUUGAAAAUCUGUUGGUUAGUGUAGCCACCUUACCUAUUGAUCUUAGCAAGAUCUGGAUGUCUUGCUGUAGGUUCUACAUCAGCAGUUGCUGCUUCACCUUGCACAUUUAUGUUAGGGAGAUGGAUUCUUUCUUUAAACCUCGCUUACCAACCUCUGCUAGCUUCAGGCUUUUCUCCUGCAGCUUCCUCACCUCUCUCAGCCUUCCUGGAAUGGAGGAGAGUUAUUAAGGCUUUGCUCUAAAUUAGGCUUUGGCUGAAGGAACUGUUGUGGCUGGUUUGAUCUUCUGUCCAGCAAUCUCCGUAUCAGCAAUAGGGUCUCACUUUUUAAAUCAAUGGUGUCUUCACUGGGGCAGCACUUUUAAGUUCCUUCAAGAACUUUUCCUUUGCUUUCGCAACCUGUCUAACUGUUUGGUGCAAGAGGCCUAGCUUUUGGCCUCUCUUGGCUUUUGACAUAUCUUCCUCACUAAGCUUAAUCCUUUUAGCUUUUGAUUUAAAAUGAGAGACUUGUGACUCUUCUGUCAGUUAAACACUUAGAGGCCAUUAAGGGUUGUUAUUUAUCCUAAUUUGAAUAUCAUUGUGUCUCAGGGAAUAGCGAGGCGGGAGGGAGGGAGGAAGGCAGGAGCAGCCUGGCGGUGGAGCGGCCAGAACACACAGCAUUUACUAAGUUUGCUGCCUUACGUGGUUGUGGCACCUAAAACAAGGACCAGAGUAACAUCAGCGGUCACUGACCACUGAUCACAUUAACGAGUACAAUAAUAAUAAUGGAAAGAUUUAAAGUAUCACAGGAAUUACCAAAAUGUGAAAGAGACACAGUGAACAAAUGUUGGAAAAUGGCCCCAACAGACUUGCCCAAAGCAGGGUUGCCACAGACCUUCGACUUGUAAAAACCACAGUACCUGCAAAGCACUUAGCAAAGUGCAGUAAAACGAGGUGCACCUGUAUUAAUUCUAAUUAGGAAUUUAUCUAUUGUAUGGGUUUUUUGUGUGUUUGUAAACAAAAACAUUAUUAUUUUCAUUUUCGAGUAUUUUUGUCUCAAAGAAACUCAGCCUUGAUUAAUGCCUUACACUGGGUAGGAAUAGCUAAUUGUAACUGCUUUUGGUUUUGCAGAUAAUUUGGGCAAAAUUGUAGUUUAUUUUAAAUAUGAACAGAACCUAAAGCUCUUAUGUGUCCUAGAUAUUUCAGAAGAAGCUUGUUGUAGAGUGAUAACAUUUGAUUCCGUAGAGGCAUAUCCUGUUCCGUGCUGGUCUUUGCCAUUUUACACGUAAUGCAGUGGUCCUUACUAAACAGCGAAUGGUCAAUAAUGCUAGGCAUGUGUCACAGUUGUGCAUGUUGGAGCCUUGCACAAGUGCUUGUGUGUGCCUGUAUUACCUGAUGUCCGUUUCAUUUGGAAUAUCUGCUUUUCACUUCAACAGGCACAAAGUAACGUUUUCUUCAUUGGAACCUUUCUUUGUUCUCAAGAUGAAGAGACAGUUGCUCUGUUCCUGUGUGUUGUGCCUCAGCAGCGCCCCUCAUUCAGAAUGGAGGCCUUACGAUCGUCUAGGCUUUUUAUGUUUGCAGUGUGCUAAGAUGAUUUAUCUUUAUGAUACAGAUUCUCUAUAGACAUUAAAGAGAAAGAGGUAAUCUUUAUGUAAGGUCACAAACAAGUGAGGAUAAGGAACAGUGGUAAAACUGGAGCUGCCAUUCUUCAGAUAAGUCAAUGAAAGGCUUUAUUUAAAUGUUUAGAAAUGGAAUUCUAAAUGUCUCUUAAGUCAGAAUAAAAAAAAAAAAAAGUCCUAGAGGAAAUACGGACUUUUCAUUCUCUGGGUAAA